RNAcentral lists this ribosomal RNA (744 nucleotides) under uncultured bacterium. RNAcentral's name for it is "bacterial SSU rRNA". It matches the Rfam family "Bacterial small subunit ribosomal RNA", at positions 33 to 773 of the family's 1533-position model. The record is from RNAcentral.
ACGCUGGCGGCAGGCCUAACACAUGCAAGUCGAGCGGAUGAAGGGAGCUUGCUCCCUGAUUCAGCGGCGGACGGGUGAGUAAUGCCUAGGAAUCUGCCUGGUAGUGGGGGACAACGUCUCGAAAGGGACGCUAAUACCGCAUACGUCCUACGGGAGAAAGUGGGGGAUCUUCGGACCUCACGCUAUCAGAUGAGCCUAGGUCGGAUUAGCUAGUUGGUGAGGUAAUGGCUCACCAAGGCGACGAUCCGUAACUGGUCUGAGAGGAUGAUCAGUCACACUGGAACUGAGACACGGUCCAGACUCCUACGGGAGGCAGCAGUGGGGAAUAUUGGACAAUGGGCGAAAGCCUGAUCCAGCCAUGCCGCGUGUGCGAGGAAGGUCUUCGGAUUGUAAAGCACUUUAAGUUGGGAGGAAGGGCAUUAACCUAAUACGUUAGUGUUUUGACGUUACCGACAGAAUAAGCACCGGCUAACUCUGUGCCAGCAGCCGCGGUAAUACAGAGGGUGCAAGCGUUAAUCGGAAUUACUGGGCGUAAAGCGCGCGUAGGUGGUUUGUUAAGUUGAAUGUGAAAUCCCCGGGCUCAACCUGGGAACUGCAUCCAAAACUGGCAAGCUAGAGUAGGGCAGAGGGUGGUGGAAUUUCCUGUGUAGCGGUGAAAUGCGUAGAUAUAGGAAGGAACACCAGUGGCGAAGGCGACCACCUGGGCUCAUACUGACACUGAGGUGCGAAAGCGUGGGAGCAAAC